CCAAAAUCCGGGCCCAUGUCCCUUCCCUGGUCUGCACCCUGUUCGGGGCGGAGCACCCCAGCCCGAGCCCGAACGCCGCUUCCUCCGCCGGCGCCUACGUCCACUGCCUGCGACAUGUGCCUAAGGGUUCAAUGAGGCCCAGACAACAUGAUUCUGCCUCAAAGAGAUGCUUGGACCUGCUUCAAGCCACCUCCCAGCAAUGGAGCCUCAGUUUUCCUGGGUGAGGUGGGGAAACAGAGGACUGCAGAGAGUAAGUCAUAUGCCCAGUAUCACAUAGACAUCAUGUGACAGACCCACGAUUUGAAUCCACGUGCCCUCAGUUUUAGGGGCUGGGCUCUUUCAGCACCAUGCUAUGGGGCAGAAACAAAAGAGGGAUCUGGGAGCAGCCUGACCAAGGUGGGAACCCGCUUCCAAUCAGUUUAUUCCAUAAAAUCACCAUGAUGUGGUAUGGGGGUGGGAGUGGAAGAGAGAGGCUGCAUCUUGUUUAUAAUCCAGUCCUCUCUGGGUAGGGAAUCUCACAGCCCCUCCUCAUAUCCCCUAGUUAGUGUGAAGAUGCCCCCCAGAAAUGAUUGUUCUCGCUCCUCUCCUCUUGCCAGCUCAGGGUUCUGCCAAGCUCCAACCCCAUGGUUUAUUAGACAAGAUGGCCCACUUUGGACACUUAACAGUGGCUCAGGAUAUGAAUUUUCCCUUCCCCUCUUGGGCCACUCCAAACCCCACCUCAGGGCAGGUCCUAGAUAGAGUGCAGGAAGGGAAGGAGUGACAAGCUGGAAUGGCUUGGGUCUCUGGGAGCUGCAGAGGACCAUGAAGUAGAGCCACAAACCACCAUUGAACACAUACUGUGCUCAUCCUCAGAAAUAACCUGCAUCCCUUACCUCCUCCGUUCCACACACGUAUAUUAAGUGCCAGGCCAGUAGCAAGUGAAUCUCAUCCUGCCCUUAGGAACUUUUAGCUCAGUGCUCCCUAGAAUGUUACCAAACUGAACUCAGGUCUCCUUGCCUGACAUGAAACAAAAUCAAUCUACUGUUAAUAGGUUGUGGUGAAGGAAAGUAUGGUGUUUAUUUGCAGGGUACCAAGCAAGGAGAACAGACAAUGAAUGCUCAAAAGACCCAAACUCCCUAAUGUUGUCCAGGAAAGGGUUUUUAAAGGCAACAUUAGGGGGUGAGGGUCACAGGGUGUGUGAUCAGCCCGUGGACAUUUUUCUGAUUCAUCGGUGGUGAGGUAACAGGGUGAUUUUCAGGAAUCUCAAUCUCACAGUCUUCUGGCUGCUACCAGUUUAGGGUCUAUAUGUCCAUGGUCAGCAGUUUCCAUCUGGUGGGCUCUUGGUUUCUGUAAAAACACCUUAAAAAUGUGGGUGAGAAGGUUAUCCAUAUCCCUCAAGGAGUUCUGUGACUUUUAUAUCUGACCUAUUAUUUAAGUUAUUAUUACUUUUCCUGCUUGAUUGCUUUUCCUUUGUACCUGCUUUUCCACUUCUCUAAUCACUAACUUCUUGAGUCUGCUUUUGGAACUUGAGGAAGGUCUAGGAAACUAAAGCUUUUUCUAUAAGCAAGAAACGGAACACAGGGGUCUGUCACUGGUAAGGCCCCAUAGGGGCCAGUUCAGUUUCAAGAGGGCAGAGGGCUCCCUAAUCUUUGACACCAGAU
This is a non-coding RNA of Vicugna pacos (alpaca), 1640 nucleotides long. The record is from RefSeq and is a predicted model, not a curated record. NCBI's taxonomy places the organism in Eukaryota, Metazoa, Chordata, Mammalia, Artiodactyla, Camelidae.